Molecule: long non-coding RNA, 2789 nt
Organism: Bubalus bubalis (water buffalo)
Lineage: Eukaryota; Metazoa; Chordata; Mammalia; Artiodactyla; Bovidae
Exons: 2
Source: RefSeq, a predicted model, not a curated record
ACUAGUGGGAGAAUGCAGGUUGGGAAGGUAGCGGGUUUGGCCGGCUGUGAGGCUGUCCCCAUGGUGGGUCCUCUAAAAGUAAUAAUACGUCCCAGCAGUUCGUGAGCACCUGCAAUGCGCCCUUAGACACGAAGCGGUACUUGGGCGCCACUCUGAGUGCCUGCCGUGAAUCCACUCAUUUGAUGUGCAGCCAUCAUCUUCAAAGCACCUGCCGUCCACUAGGCACUGAGCUGAUCCUCAUGUGGACCCCAUGAGGGGGACAUUAUCCUCACCCCCUCUUCACCAGAUGCGGAAAUAGAGGCCCAGAAAGACAAGCAGCUGUAUUACUUGGUGGAAGGAAAGUGGGCUCCAGGGUCAACUGGACCCAAGAAUUCAAACCUUGACUUUGCCCCUUCCGACUGUACGACCUCACGCAAGUGCCUCCAUCUCUCAGAGCCUCAGUUUAGGGUUAGGGCUCUGACAAACGUGAUGAUUGUACUCAAAUCACCCGGAGCCAGACCUGGUGGGAGCGCCUAAGAAGCGAGGGAGGGCAAGGACUGUGGGCUUGGACUGCCCUGGGCCCCAGUCCCACUCUGCUGCUUCCUAGCUGUGUGACCUUCAGCGUGAUGUUUAACCUCUCUGGGCCUCCACGUCCUCUGUACGAUGGGGAUCGUAGUAACACCUCCCUCAUACCACUGACAGAAGGAACGAGUGAGCUGACACCCCAGGAGCCCUCCGCACAGCACUGGGUGUUCCACAGGCACUAACACAGUCCAUUGAGAGCCGGUGAGCUGAUGACAUCUUUGUCCUGACAGGAACAGUUCUACAGACUUGGACUCCAUGGUCUUAAGCAUCCAUCAGGCUUCCAUUCCAGGCCAGAGCACCACCAAAGAGACACUUAGUUGGCUAGCUUAGAGAAAGAUGGAAAGGCAAGAAAGAAGGGGAAGCAAAGGCUGGGCCAGGCGAGGAGGCUGAAGCCACAGGUGGUGGUAAUAUGAGAUAGGCCCCAGCCUAGGAGGGGUCCCCGGGCUGCCCAGCCCCUGCAGACCCUGGUCCCCCUCACAGAACAAGAGCUCCACCUGGGAGUGUGGAGGAGGGCAGUCCUGGAGACCCCGGGCAGGAGCUCAGAAGAGAAAGGUGGACAAUUUGUUCUAAGGAAAAGCCAUGUAAUGUGAAUUCACUGAGAACCAGGCCAAAAUCUCAGAAAAAAAGUUAGAGAAAUAGAGAAAUUUGCCUAGAACCUGUCUUGCAAAGUAAAAAAAAAAAAAAAGAAAAGUGAAAAUAAAUUGGUUUUUCUCCUUGACCUAACAUGAUAACAUAAUUAUACAAAUUCUUAGCAUGAUCAAAGUGAAGGGAAUGUUGAUAUAUUUAAAUAAAUAUAAAAAAAAAAAUAAAAUGGCGUGACAGAACAUAACCUUUUCGUUGCAUGAGACCAAGCCGACAUAAUCAUGGAGAGAGUCAUUCAGUCUGCACUGUGGCCACUCCCAGGGCCCUUGGUCCCCACUCCCAUAACUGGCCGGCCCACUGCAGACUCUGGAAACCUGGAGGCGGCUGCGGCCCCGCCCACCCCAGGAUGGACUCCCGAGUACCACUUCCACCACCUCCAGCUUUUGAUCCAGAAGACAGGCCCAGAUGCACCUGAUUGGUGGGCGCUGGUCACGUGGCUGUAACCACGCCUCUGGGGAGCAACCCCACUGGGGUCCUGCCUUCCUUCCCUCCGCAGUCCCUAUCCCUCAGACCCUCAUUGGCUCCUGCAGCCUGUUCCACAUCCCAAGAGGGACGAGUCCACCCCCUCCAGUUUUUGAAUAACUAAAGGAUUAUUGUGUCCCACUUCAGGAACAAAUGAGAAACCAGGAAAACAUAUUUUUACAAUUUUUAACAAUGAAGGAACUAAUUUUCCCAUUACAAAGAUGGUCUCAAAUAAACAAGACAAACGCUCCAUGGAGAAAAUGGUAACACCAUAAAAAUGAAAGCAGCUUGGGUAUCCACUAGGCACCAGAUGCCGGGGAUACAAAAGUGGACGAAGGCUGCUUCCUCCUGAGCUCACUGUCUGUGGGAAAAAUGGCUAAGAGGCUGGUCCGAACCCCGCAGGGACCAGGGGCGCCUGGGGAGCUGGGGGACGGCAGAGCCAUGCCCACGUGAAGGGGUGGUGAGCUGAGAAGGGGACAGAGUGCCCCAGGAAGAAGGUGCUGCUCAGGCAAAGGCGUGGCGGGAGGAAGAACUCCAGCCACAGCUUCUAGAACCUUCCAGACCACAGGUGUCCACCGACUUGCGUUCUGUUGUUUUUAAUGUGAUUUUUUUGGCCCAGCAUUUAAAAAUCCAGACUUUUCACACACGACCUCGGAUUUCUGCCUUCUCUUGAUAAAUGGAAAGACUCGGGCUGCGUGACGGCUAAGAAGCAGCUGAGAAGGGCUUGUUCUCUCCAGUCCAUGGCAGCCACCACCCAGCUCACCCCUCACUCUUCACGUCACCAAGCUAUCUGAGUUUUUUGACUCCCUGUUUUAAAGGUUGCCAGGGAGGACACUGGGGAAUCAGGCCCAGAGAGCUUGAGCAACUCUCCCAAAAUCACACAGCACACAAAACAGGGCUACAGCCUGAGGACUCAGGACAUGAACCACCUCCUCCCCGGAGCCCCAUGGACCCCCACCUCAGUCCUCCAGGAGCCGCUGACCCUGGCCCUGAGCCCCCGGAGAGCCAGGAGGCCUGGCCAGGGAAGGCCCCGUCCUGUUUAGGUUUUGUGGUCUCGUGAGUAACUGAGUGGAAAAAAACAAGCUUGAAAAGAUAACAAUUACAACGAAAAUUAAAUCAAA